UAUUUCAUAACAAAAAUGUAGUAUUUGGCUGUCAAAUGCAUUCAUUUAAAAUGCAUGGCUAACACCCGCUUUAUAUUCCCUGGCAUAUAAUAGCUUUAUUUUAAGUCCAAAAUAGUUAAGUAAGAACUCCUUCCUAUUACCUUAAUUAAACAAACCUUCUAAAUUGAGGUAUUCCAUGCUUUAUAAUUUAUAUCACUUGGCCUUUACAAAUUUAGAUAAAUAAAUCGGGGUGUGCCAUAUACAAGUAUAAUCUUUUAAUUUAUAGCCCUCAUAUAAUUGAAUUAAUAACCAUAGUUUGCUUUAGGUUGAAGUUGUGCGAACGUGUCCCUCGAGUCUUUUAAUAAGUUAAUUCGCAAUUAUGGUACGUGAAUGUAUACACAAUUGCAAUAAUAAACAAAGCAUUAUUAAUCGUGGACACGUUUGUGUGAUAUGAUUUUGACGCGCCCAAAAAAGAGAGCAUAUGUACGCAUAACUCAAGACAGUAAUUACAAAUAAUUCAAGUGAUUUAAAAGCAAUAAAAAGGUAAAUGCACAUAGGUUCUAAAAUAAGUAAUUAGACAAUAUAAGCCGAGUAUAAAUUGCUAAGCGACCGUGCUAGAACCACGGAACCCGGGAAUGCCUAAUACCUUCUCCCGGGUAAACAAAAUUCCGUACUUAGAAUUUCUGGUUCGUAGACUUCAAAAGGAAAUUCGAAUUUCCUCGAUUUGGGAUUUUAAACUAAACCGAUGACUUGGGACACCAGAAAACAAACCAUCCCAAGUGGCGGCUCUGAAUAAAAUUGAAUAAAUAAUCUCAUUUUGAAUAAUGUCACGUAAAUUGGAAAAACUCUCUUAUAUACCAUCGGGUGUGUAAAAAAAGAGGUGUGACAAAUAGUAUUCAAUGUAACGUUAUAAUUGGCAAUCAUAAUCUGAUUCAAUACAAAUUCUAUAACAUUUUCCGUUGUUAAUGCCUAUUAAUUGCCAAUAAUAUGAUAUUGUUAUGAAAUAAUAUAAG
This 992-nucleotide long non-coding RNA is filed under the name Nicotiana benthamiana. RNAcentral's name for it is "long non-coding RNA (NBEN_LNC028565)". Lineage: Eukaryota; Viridiplantae; Streptophyta; Magnoliopsida; Solanales; Solanaceae. The record is from RNAcentral.